Clostridium baratii str. Sullivan is the source of this 84-nucleotide regulatory RNA element. It matches the Rfam family "Cyclic di-GMP-II riboswitch aptamer". The record is from Rfam. NCBI's taxonomy places the organism in Bacteria, Bacillati, Bacillota, Clostridia, Eubacteriales, Clostridiaceae.
UUAAAUAAUAGAAGCAUUGAAAUAUAUCCUGUAUAUGGGCACUUGGGGUAUGUGGAGCUAGUAGUGCAACCGGCUAAUAUACUU